Molecule: RNA transcript, 6315 nt
Organism: Malaclemys terrapin pileata
Lineage: Eukaryota; Metazoa; Chordata; Testudines; Emydidae
Gene name: GDNF-inducible zinc finger protein 1-like
Exons: 8
Source: RefSeq, a predicted model, not a curated record
GCCGGGAGGGCGGCGCCGCUUGGUCUCGUGACGCCGAUGGCGGCGGCUGCGCCGCGGCAGUUGCCGGAACUGGCCGGGUGGGGGGAGCGCUCGUGAGCGGCCAGCGCUUCCGGCCGCCGCGCGGAGCCCGGGGCUGCCCGCUGUUUGCAGAAAGAAGAAAGAUGGAAAGUAAUGCAGUUUUGCUAGAAUCAAAGUCCUCGCCGAUAAAUCUUCUGAACGAAAUGCAUCAGCUGCGUCUUCUGGGCCAUCUUUGUGAUGUGACGGUUAGCGUGGAGUAUCAAGGUGUCAGGGGAGAGUUUGUUGCUCACAAAGCUGUAUUGGCAGCAACAAGCAAAUUCUUCAAGGAGGUGUUUCUUAAUGAGAAGAGCAUGGAUAGCUCAAGGACAAAUGUGUUCUUGAAUGAGGUCCAGGUAGCUGAUUUUGCUUCAUUUCUUGAGUUUGUCUAUACUGCCAGAGUAGAAGUGGAGGAAGACCGAGUGCAACGUAUGCUGGAAAUAGCUGAAAAGCUUAAGUGCUUGGACCUAUCUGAAACCUGUUUUCAGCUGAAGAAGCAGAUGCUUGAAUCAGUGUUGUUGGAGUUGCAAAAUUUCUCUGAAUCGCAGGAUGCUGAGGACGACAGUGGUACCCAAUCCAAUGCUUUAGUUGAGUUGAAGACAACUGUUGUGGCGGAAGGUGACCGUACAGACUGUCCUCCUGAUUCUCCGAAUUCCCCCAUGGAAAGACCCAGCAAUGGAGUGUCUCUUGAGAGGCCAACUGCCAAAUCAAAAGAGAAGGUUGACAAGAAAAAAGAAACCAUGAAGCCUCCCUAUGCCAAAAUCAGAAGGGCCAGUGGGAGGCUGGCUGGGAGGAAAGUAUUUGUAGAAAUCCCCAAAAAGAAGUACACAAGGCGGUUGAGAGAGCAACAGAAGAAUGCUGAGGAUGCUACUGAAGAGAACAAGUUCCCGAAAGACCAAAUCAUGCAUGAUGUGGAGAAGGAAGAGGGGCAAGUGGAAAACAGUGUGAAGCCUGAGAAUGAAGAGUGCAAUGGCAACUUUGAAUUAGAAGACAACUUUAAAAAAUCAGAGGAGGAUAAGAAGAAAAGAGGCGGCAAUUUCAAAUGCAGCACCUGCAAGAAGGAAUUCCUGUAUGAGAAGAGCUUCCUCAAGCACAUAAAGCACAGUCAUGGCAUUGCGGCUGAAAUCAUUUACCGGUGUGAAACCUGCAGUCAGACCUUUGCCAACCGGUGCAAUUUAAAAAGCCACCAACGCCACGUCCACACCAGUGAGCGCCACUUCCCUUGUGAACUCUGUGGUAAGAAGUUCAAGAGGAAGAAGGACGUCAAGAGGCACAUUCUUCAGGUUCAUGAGGGUGGUGGGGAGCGUCAUCAGUGCCAACAGUGUGGAAAGGGUUUGAGCUCCAAAACUGCUUUGAGGCUUCAUGAAAGGACGCAUACAGGCGACAAGCCUUAUGGGUGCACAGAGUGUGAGGCUAAAUUUUCUCAGCCUUCUGCACUUAAAACACACAUGAGAAUCCACACUGGUGAGAAACCUUUUGUCUGUGAGGAAUGUGGUGCAAGAUUCACACAGAAUCACAUGCUUAUAUAUCAUAAAAGGUGUCAUACAGGGGAAAGGCCGUUUAUGUGUGAAACAUGUGGGAAGAGCUUUGCCUCUAAGGAGUACUUGAAACACCAUAAUAGAAUACAUACCGGAUCCAAGCCGUUUAAAUGUGAAGUUUGCUUUAGAACAUUUGCACAGAGGAAUUCGCUUUACCAGCAUAUUAAAGUUCACACGGGUGAACGGCCCUAUUGUUGUGAUCAGUGUGGUAAGCAGUUCACACAGCUCAACGCAUUGCAGCGCCAUCAUCGAAUACACACGGGAGAGAAACCGUUCAUGUGCAAUGCGUGCGGGCGAACAUUCACGGAUAAAUCGACCUUGCGGCGGCACACUUCAAUACAUGAUAAGAAUACACCCUGGAAGUCGUUCCUGGUUAUUGUUGAAGGAGUGUCUAAGAACGAUGAAGGUCACAAGACAGAGCUUCCUGAUGAAGAGUAUCAUGUGUCACCUAAAAUAACAGACAAGUUGCUGUCUUUUUCUGAAAAUGGCCACUAUCAAAACUUGAUAGCUGUCCCAGGGAGUGUGACUGCACUGCACGACAACAAUUCUACCAUCGUGACAGACUGCAAAUCAGAUGGGACUGUGGGACCCCAAGAAGCCCUCAUAGCUACCACCUUAAGUGAGCUUACGGUACUACAUACACAGACAGAUGCUAUUCAGCCACAGCUCCAUGCUCUGGUGAAUAUGGAAUAAUUUGGUAUUGUUCACCAACCCAGCCUAGGGCAUACCUCUAAUAACUUCUGACUUUGCCAGGAACCUACUGAUGUAAUUAGGAGAAAGCAUAGAUCCGAAAGGAAGAGGGACUAGUUGUGGAUGACAUUCAUGGCAUUUAUCUCCUUCUCGCCCUUAAAACACCACAAAUCAGUAAUCUUCAAUUUGCAUAGUCUAGUGGUAGUUCCUUUUCCCGGCUGAUAGUUAUUGUUCUACUUUAUUCAUUUCUUGAUUUUUCUGUACCCUUUGUUAUGAACAUGUGAAAUAAUACAAUCACUUCAGAGAGCAGUUAACCUCAAGCAGAGCAUAUGAAGACCUGCCAUUGUUUUAAUCUCUGGAAAUCUGACCAGGCAGUCUCCUCUUCGCUACCCUUCCUGCAAAGAAGCAGUUUGAGAAAAGCUUGCUGAAAGUUAAGCACAAUCCAUCACUAUGGCCCACUCCUAAAAGACUUACUGGAUUAUACCAAUAUUGAAACACUGCAACCCAUCCCGAAUGAACUCCGAUUAAGAGCUCGAUUCUGCAAACUGGACUACUGACUAUAGCUCUUACUACUGUAUGUAAUCCCACUGAAAUCAAAUGAAAAGCUUUGCAGACAGCCGGGAGAAGGGAAGAACUGAGAGGAGAAAGGCCCAGGAGUGCCAGCAGGAAAAGGAGAGGGAGAUGCCCCAGGCCAUAAUGGGGCUUCUCCGCAGCAAACGCAAAUGCUGCAGACUCUUGUGGACCUACAGGUUCAACAAUCCCAGGCUCACCUCCCUUUGCAGUCCAUGCAGAACUCCAUUGCAGCAUCCACCCUCCACAUUCCACAUGGCAUCAAGGGCCGCCGCCCUACGCCUCUACCACUCCACCCCAGGAGACAUUACGGAAAACCACAGCUUCACAUACACUGACCUGUGACCGCCACAGUGGCUAAAAUGGCCAUGAAUGUUCUUUCCUCUUGAAAAGUUCCGUUCUAUUCAUUCAUGAAGUUUUUAACGUCUUUGCUUUUAAAUUGCACAGAUUUUUCUUUUCACUGAUUUUGUUACUGAAUAAAAUUCUAUUAUUUGGAAAAUAAUUCGUCUUUAUUAGUUCACAGCAUAUGCUGCAGAGUGCCUAGCAGUUCUGAAAUCACCUACUUACUUGUUACUGCGCAGUGUGACAACUCACAGGAUCAGUGACCUACACAAUGUAAUAAUGAUACAUGUACAGCAAGCACUGCAUGGUAUUUAUACCAUUAAUACGUACACUGACAAUGGUAUAGUCCGACAUGUACCCCCAGCACCACACAAUUCCUAAUAGUGCUUCUUCAAAGCCUCUCUGAGUCAUAUACCUGCGAUAAGCUCUUCUAACAGCCCUUGUAUCUGGCGGUUUGAACUCAGCAGACAGCCUCUCCACCUCUGCCCCAAUCCCAGUGGCAACCUUUCCCCCUUUGCUUCACAGAUAUUAUGUAGGACACAGCAGGCAGCUAUAGCCAUUGGGAUAUUUUUCUUACUGAGAUCCUAUCUUGUGAGUAAACAAUGCCGAUGUCCCUUCAAUCUGCCAAAGGCACAUUCAACUUCAUUCUGCACCUGCUGAUCUGGUAGUUGAAUCUUUCCUUGCUGCUGUCAAGGUGGCUGGGAUAUGGCUUCAAGAGUAAGGUUCAGAUUUUGUCAGGGAUAUUUUUAGUAAAAAUCACGGACGGGUCAUGGGCAACAAAGCCCGUGACCUGUCCGUGAUUUUUACUAAAAAUAUCCGACACAAUGGGGAGAGAGGAGGGUCCAGCACCCACAGCAACUAGGGGCUCUGGGGUCCCUGCUCGGCCCGCCAUGGCUGGGCAGAGGCAGGGAGGCUCCUGCGGCCCGCAAGAGCUCUGGGGAACCCCCACCGUCCGUAGGGGCUGGGAGCUCAAGGGUCCCCUUGCUGCCCAGGGCUAGGAGCUGGUGAGGGCCCGCUGCCAGCAGUGGCUGAGAGCUGCGGGGCUGCCUGCUGACAGCUCCAGCCCUGGGGCACAAAAUGUCACGGAGGUCUCUGGAAGUCAUGGAUUCUGUGACUUCCAUGACAUCUGUGACAUAAUCGUAGCCUUAUUCAUGAGCCACCUAAGCAAGGGGAGGCUAGGUCCCCCAGGAUCACUACUGGCAUUUCAACGUUGCCAAUGGUUAUCCGCCAGUCAGAAAAAAAAGUCCCACCUUAUAGCUUUCUAAAAAGUCCUGUGUUCUUAAAGAUGUGAGUAUCAUGCACCUUCCCUGACCAGCUCACACUGAUGUCAAUCAAGUGUCCCCAGUGAUCCAUCAAUGUUUGCAUAACCACACAAAAGUAGCCCUUCUGCUGAUGCGCUCUAUGGCAAGGUGGUCUAGUGCCAAAAGAGGGAUAUGAGGGCCGUUUAUUGCUCCACCACAGUUCAGGAACCCCAUUGUUGCAAAUCCAUCCACUAUGUCCUGCACAUUGCCAAGAGUCACAGUCCUGCACAGCAGGAAGAGAUUAAUGGCCCUGCACGGAGACUUGCAUUACAGUCACUUGCAAGACAAUGGCCCCUGCAGUGGAUUUUCCCACUCCAAACCGAUUCCCCACUGUUUCCAUGGUGCGAUCACUCACUUCCCCACUGUCAGUGCAGCUCUCGUUUUGGGGUCCCUGCACUGGAGGUCUGGGGCGAGCUUGGCUCACAGAUCUGGGAAUGUGGCCAUGUUCUGCAGCCACUGUUCAUCAUUCCAAGCCUGCAUUACAAUGCAAUCCCACCAGUAAGUACUCGUGUCCAGAAGCAGCACGCCACCAUCUCCAGCUGCUCCGUGAAUGCCAACAACCUUGAAUUGGUGCUCGCUAUAUCUCACAGCAGUCUGUCCUCCAAGGAAUCGUCAUGUUCCCCAUUGAUUUGGUUAUUCUUGAAGCUCUGGACUGCGUGUCCUGUGCUUGCAAUGCUAACAGCAACACUGCAGAACUGUGCAGACUUCCGUGCUUCAGUCAGAGAUGGCGGAUAGCGAGGAGAGCUAUGUAGGUUCGUGGGAUUUUGAAAAAAGGAGCAAAAAUGAUGGGAUAUGAAUGACAUUACGGGAUGGAGACAGUUACAUGCUGGGAAGCUGACCCCUUGCUCCGAGUCACCCCCUGCGCAACUCGUUUAGGCCCCAUCAUGCAUUGCAAAACUUCCCAAUAGACAGUGCACUGGACAGUGGCGGGUUGCACACUGGGACUCCUACCCAUGGUGCACAACAUUGUGCAUCGACAAACGCACUCCUGGUGAGCACAUGCAUCACCGACACAAGGAGCCACGUAUGCACACGGACAAGCAAUAUACUAACAACAGCAGCUAAUGCCAACAUAACUUGGGUCGACUAAAGUUGGUAGUGCACACAUGGCCUUAGAGGAAAGACAGAUAUCAACUGGACUCACUAAAAAUAUCACUUCCCAUGACAAACCGCACUUUCCUUGUAGGGUAAAGGGAAAGAGAGUCUUUCAUCAGAGUCUGUUAGCUCUGACAUGCUUCGCAUCCAAGGCUGCAGGCACCACAGACAUCCUAUCACACUUCUGCAAUGAUUUGUCAAAUCCUAUUAAAUGUGUGUAGCUUGAUUGUCCAAAAGAGCUGUACCAUAUAAACAACUUCUGUGCAAUUCACACUUUCCUGUCAGUCUUUCACAAACACUUUGAAACUGACCGACAGUGCAUCAUCCUCAUCAGGUCUUAAAUGGGGCCUGGGGUAUUUCAAGAGCACUCGCGUAAAUCUAAAAAAGUGACUUGCUCAGUCCAUCUGCUUCAGGCCUCCAUAUGAGAGUCAAGUUUCCACUGAUCAUCAUAAGGAAAGGAAGAGGUAACUUAAAAACAUGGAAGAGAGGGGAGAAAGAGGCACACCAAAGGCAAAGACCAAACAACUCAUCAGUGGGCCUUGAUCCUGGUAUCACUUGUACCAAAUUUAACUACACUAACUUCACACAAGUUACUCCUGACAUAUACCUACAUCAGCAAUAUCGAAAACAAGCCUAGAGACUUUAAGUUCCUGGAAGAGCCUGAUUCAUGAAGUUCCCUAGGCCAGCAGAGUGAAGUUUCAUAAUCAUACGCAGUUCUGAUAGCA